UACGUAGGGUCCGAGCGUUGUCCGGAAUUAUUGGGCGUAAAGGGCUCGUAGGCGGUCCGUCACGUCGGGAGUGAAAACUCAGGGCUCAACCCUGAGCGUGCUUCCGAUACGGGCGGACUAGAGGUAUGCAGGGGAGAACGGAAUUCCUGGUGUAGCGGUGGAAUGCGCAGAUAUCAGGAGGAACACCGGUGGCGAAGGCGGGUCUCUGGGCCGAUACUGACGCUGAGGAGCGAAAGCGUGGGGAGCGAACAGG
RNAcentral lists this ribosomal RNA (253 nucleotides) under uncultured bacterium. Its description in RNAcentral is "partial 16S ribosomal RNA". It matches the Rfam family "Bacterial small subunit ribosomal RNA", at positions 524 to 776 of the family's 1533-position model. The record is from RNAcentral.